RNAcentral lists this ribosomal RNA (468 nucleotides) under uncultured bacterium. Its description in RNAcentral is "partial 16S ribosomal RNA". It matches the Rfam family "Bacterial small subunit ribosomal RNA", at positions 28 to 507 of the family's 1533-position model. The record is from RNAcentral.
GACGAACGCUGGCGGCGUGCUUAACACAUGCAAGUCGAACGGAAAGGCCCUGCUUUUGUGGGGUGCUCGAGUGGCGAACGGGUGAGUAACACGUGAGUAACCUGCCCUUGACUUUGGGAUAACUUCAGGAAACUGGGGCUAAUACCGGAUAGGAGCUCCUGCUGCAUGGUGUGGGUUGGAAAGUUUCGGCGGUUGGGGAUGGACUCGCGGCUUAUCAGCUUGUUGGUGGGGUAGUGGCUUACCAAGGCUUUGACGGGUAGCCGGCCUGAGAGGGUGACCGGCCACAUUGGGACUGAGAUACGGCCCAGACUCCUACGGGAGGCAGCAGGGGGGAAUAGUGCGCAAUGGGCGGAAGCCUGAUGCAGCAACGCCGCGUGCGGGAUGACGGCCUUCGGGUUGUAAACCGCUUUCGCCUGUGACGAAGCGUGAGUGACGGUAAUGGGUAAAGAAGCACCGGCUAACUACGUG